CAGCCGCCACGGGAAUACGUAGGUGGCAAGCGUUGUCCGGAAUUAUUGGGCGUAAAGGGCUCGCAGGCGGUUUCUUAAGUCUGAUGUGAAAGCCCCCGGCUCAACCGGGGAGGGUCAUUGGAAACUGGGAAACUUGAGUGCGGAAGAGGAGAGUGGAAUUCCACGUGUAGCGGUGAAAUGCGUAGAGAUGUGGAGGAACACCAGUGGCGAAGGCGACUCUCUGGUCUGUAACUGACGCUGAGGAGCGAAAGCGUGGGGAGCGAACAGGAUUAGAUACCCCUGUAGUCCCUGUCUCUUAUAC
This 301-nucleotide ribosomal RNA is filed under the name uncultured bacterium. RNAcentral's name for it is "partial 16S ribosomal RNA". It matches the Rfam family "Bacterial small subunit ribosomal RNA", at positions 509 to 807 of the family's 1533-position model. The record is from RNAcentral.